Molecule: unclassified non-coding RNA, 332 nt
Filed under: soil metagenome
Description: partial contains 5.8S ribosomal RNA, internal transcribed spacer 2, and large subunit ribosomal RNA
Rfam family: 5.8S ribosomal RNA (bases 1-120)
Source: RNAcentral
GAUGAAGAACGUAGCAAAAUGCGAUAAGUAAUGUGAAUUGCAGAAUUCAGUGAAUCAUCGAAUCUUUGAACGCACAUUGCGCCCGCCAGUAUUCUGGCGGGCAUGCCUGUUCGAGCGUCAUUUCAACCCUCAAGCACAGCUUGGUGUUGGGACUCGCGUUAAUUCGCGUUCCCCAAAUUGAUUGGCGGUCACGUCGAGCUUCCAUAGCGUAGUAGUAAAACCCUCGUUACUGGUAAUCGUCGCGGCCACGCCGUUAAACCCCAACUUCUGAAUGUUGACCUCGGAUCAGGUAGGAAUACCCGCUGAAUUUAAGCAUAUCAAUAAGCGGAGGA